RNAcentral lists this ribosomal RNA (389 nucleotides) under uncultured bacterium. RNAcentral describes it as "bacterial SSU rRNA". It matches the Rfam family "Bacterial small subunit ribosomal RNA", at positions 30 to 422 of the family's 1533-position model. The record is from RNAcentral.
AUUGAACGCUGGCGGCAUGCCUUACACAUGCAAGUCGAACGGCAGCGGGCCUUCGGGUGCCGGCGAGUGGCGAACGGGUGAGUAAUGCAUCGGAACGUGCCAUUGAGUGGGGGAUAACGUAGCGAAAGUUACGCUAAUACCGCAUAUUCUGUGAGCAGGAAAGCAGGGGACCGCAAGGCCUUGCGCUCUUUGAGCGGCCGAUGUCAGAUUAGCUAGUUGGUGAGGUUAAAGGCUUACCAAGGCGACGAUCUGUAGCGGGUCUGAGAGGAUGAUCCGCCACACUGGAACUGAGACACGGUCCAGACUCCUACGGAGGCAGCAGUGGGGAAUUUUGGACAAUGGCGCAAGCCUGAUCCAGCCAUGCCGCGUGAGUGAAGAAGGCCUUCGGG